CCCUUUUGGUUGUUUGGACUGAGGAGACCUAGCCCUGGAGCCUAGAGGCUCUUUGGUGGGGUAAUGGUGGACUCUGGGAGGGCUCACGGUGAGGGCUCAUGCCAAGGAGUACUUCCCAGAACUUCUGCUGCCAGUGUCCUUGUCCCUGUGGUGAGCUACAGCCAUCCCCCAUCUCUGUUGGAGAACUUCCAACACUAGCAGUUUUCCUCCCAUACUGCCAUCAUCCUAGAAACACUGCCUGAGUGCAUCUUCUCUUUCUGCACAUUUUAAGGUCAACUAGUGAGCAUCCUUGCUUGAAUACAAUGAGAACAAGAAGAUGGCCAUUUGCAAACCAGGAAGACAAUUCUCACCAGACGUGGAAUUUACCUUGGUCUUGGACUUCCCAGACUCCAGA
Non-coding RNA from Delphinapterus leucas (beluga whale), 394 nucleotides. Lineage: Eukaryota; Metazoa; Chordata; Mammalia; Artiodactyla; Monodontidae. The record is from RefSeq and is a predicted model, not a curated record.